GCAAUUGACGGUUCUAACAUCUUCACAGAGUGGUAUAAUUUUCCCUUAGCAUGGGAAAGGUCCUGGGUUCGAUUCCCAGAUUGUCCA
Molecule: transfer RNA, 87 nt
Filed under: Ascocoryne sarcoides NRRL 50072
Lineage: Eukaryota; Fungi; Ascomycota; Leotiomycetes; Helotiales; Gelatinodiscaceae
Description: tRNA-Ala (AGC) (tRNA-Ala-AGC-6-1)
Source: RNAcentral